This 446-nucleotide ribosomal RNA is filed under the name uncultured bacterium. RNAcentral's name for it is "bacterial SSU rRNA". It matches the Rfam family "Bacterial small subunit ribosomal RNA", at positions 335 to 774 of the family's 1533-position model. The record is from RNAcentral.
ACUCCUACGGGAGGCAGCAGUAGGGAAUAUUGGUUCAAUGGGCGAAAGCCUGAACCAGCCAUGCCGCGUGUCAGAUGAAGGUCCUCUGGAUUGUAAAUGACUUUUCUACGGGAAGAAUGAGCCGUCUGCGGACGGAAGUUGACGGUACCGUAGGAAUAAGCACCGGCUAACUACGUGCCAGCAGCCGCGGUAAUACGUAGGGGUGCAAGCGUUGUCCGGAUUUACUGGGUUUAAAGGGUACGUAGGCGGUUGUGCCAAGUCUGGGGUGAAAGUUUGCAGCUCAACUGUAAAAUUGCCUUGGAUACUGGUCGGCUAGAGUAGUGGAGCGGUGGCUGGAAUUUAUAGUGUAGCGGUGAAAUGCUUAGAUACUAUGAGGAACACCAAUUGCGAAGGCAGGUCACUGGUCACUAACUGACGCUGAGGUACGAAAGUGUGGGGAUCAAACA